UACGGAAGGGGCUAGCGUUGUUAGGAAUUACUGGGCGUAAAGAGCGCGUAGGCGGCUUACCAAGUUGGGGGUGAAAUCCCGGAGCUCAACUCCGGAACUGCCUUCAAAACUGGUAGGCUCGAGUCCGGAAGAGGGGCGUGGAAUUCCCAGUGUAGAGGUGAAAUUCGUAGAUAUUGGGAAGAGCACCGGUGGCGAAGGCGGCGCCCUGGUCCGGUACUGACGCUGAGGCGCGAAAGCGUGGGGAGCACACAGG
Molecule: ribosomal RNA, 253 nt
Filed under: uncultured bacterium
Lineage: Bacteria
Description: partial 16S ribosomal RNA
Rfam family: Bacterial small subunit ribosomal RNA
Source: RNAcentral